AGAAUUGCUUCAAUAUUCGAAGGCAUUCUUGACAGGCUGUCUGCAUCAAAGCUUUUUUCUUCCAGGGCCACAUUUAACUGUGAAGUGUAAAUCUGCCAAUUCUUAUUAUCGCUAUAGACUAAAUUACAUGGCAAACAAAGAGCACUUUGUGAUGCAAAUGAUUGUUUUUAUUUGCUGAUAAUGAAGAGAUUUAAACAGUCAAAACAAAAGUUACCAAAUCAUUAUUUGACAAAUGAUCUCUGGAAGUCCUGUCUGCCCCUGAAGCCCACCAGGAAGGGACAGCACUGUUUGUCCUGACUCUGGUAAAGAGAAUGAGAUGACUUACAAAGCAUACAAAGUAUGUCCACCUUCAGUUUAUUAUUGUGAGUAAAAAACUAUUCUCUCAACAUGUAGUUGCUACAUGAUCAUUAUUUCCCUGAACCGUUUCAGCAGCAUAACCAAGGGUGUGUUGUUGUUCUGCUGACCUUCAUACACAACCAGCAGUGGAGGAAAUGCAAAACAACCCGCUCAACUGGCUCUCUGCUAUCCAGUGGUUGAAUCUGUCACAGGUGCAGAUGGAAGGACCCAGUCGCAGGCAGCCAGGUGGAGUUCAAAACUCAUUUAUUUGCAGGAAUACGGAACACUGAGCUGAGCCAACAUGCAGGCAGGGACACAGAAGCAUGCAGACAGACCCACAAGGAGCCGACAAGACACACCAGGGGAGCAGGACUAAAAUAGGGCAGACACAGGUGUGGCACAUUAAGUCGUAACGAGGCAGGUGGCUUGGCAGGAGAAUAUGAGGGCAGACAAACACAAAACAGGACCCGAGUGCCCCCACAUGACUGCAGGAGCACAGGGCCUGACAGUAACCCCCUCCCAAUGUGUGCCUCCUGGCGCACAACGUGGUAAGCAUCCCAGGCGCCACCGCCCAGGUGGAGGAGGGGGACAUCCCAAGGACUACAGUCGAAAGUCUGCAAGAGAAAAUAAGCAACAGGGCGGUGUCAUCUUCUAAGGACAAUUCUGCGUUGCAUUAAUGUCUGACUUUGUGAAGGAACAGAAGCUGAAGAACUGUUGGUUGUGUCAAAACAUGCCACAAUCUAUACAUUCACCUAUGUUUUCCCCUGUUCCAUUGAGCAAGGCUCAAUACAAGUCACUGGACUGGAAUGAUGUGGCUGUUAGAGUUGAAUCGAGCUUUGACAUUUGCUUGUUUCCUACCCACUCAGUGGUGGUUAACAAGGAUGUGAAAUAUGCAAACGUUGCGGAGCUGGUUACAAAUGAGGUCAAUAUCAAAUAUCUGUAUAGUCAUACUUACCUGUGAUUUAUACUUAUCUUUAAUUACUUACCUGUCCAGUAAGAAUAUCUUUGUUUCUUGUUUUUAGUUUCACUCUGAUUCACGCUGCCAUCACAACCCUGUGUGAAAAGUGAAGUAAAGGAGCAAGUACACUCUAUCCUGGCUCAGAAAAAGAGUUUGGCUUGGUGUUUAUCUAUGUUCACACCUUGGACGGUCCAACACAUAGAGAGAACAGUACACUUUGUCCCCAAGGUUUCAGGAACACAGUGACAUGUGCAAGGCUGCCCUGUUUGUCUGCACUUGUUAUUCUCGCGUAAGAUAUAACCUGGCAUCGCCGGAAGUCAAGCCAGAACUGGGUUGAAUCCUCCACGGAGCAGCAGCCUCGUUCUCAAUCAGCUGAUCUGUGUUUAUCUCCUCUGCAGUCCUGAAUAAACUCUCCCUGUGCAAGCAUCAACACCUUGGCUCGUCAUCUUUGGCUUUGUAUCACCAAAAACUCCACAACAGACGGGACGGAUGUGAGAACGGAGGACAGAACUGCACCUAGCAGACAGAAACAGGAACAGGGGACAAAGCUGUACCUAGCAGGCAGAAACAGAAACGGGGGACAGAACUGCACUCAGCAGAAACAGGAACGGGGACAGAAUUUCCUCCCUCCCCAGAGGCCAUCCAGGAGCGGAGAAGUUGGGGAAACGGUCUCCAGAUGAUCCGGGGGCGAGCUUCGCCAGCGGGGGCCAGGGGCAGACGAUUCGGUGGAGCACCGCCACCGUAGGGCUUAUGUGGGAAGCACACUGCUUCAGAACCUCACUGUCCGCUGGGUCCAGUGAUGGUCUGCUCCUUCUGUCACGGGUGGAGGUGGAAGGACUCAGUCGCAGGCAGCCAGGUGGAGUUCAAAACUCAUUUAUUUGCAGGAAACAGGAACGCAGGAAUACGGAAACGCAGGAAUAUGGGAACGCUGAGCUGAACCGACAUGCAGGCAAGGGCACAGAAGCACGCAGACAGACCCACAAGGAGCCGACAAGACAUACCAGGGGAGCAGGACUAAAAUAGGGGCAGAAAUGGGUGUUGCACAUUAGGUGGUUAGGAGGCAGGUGGCUUUGCAGGAGAACAUUAGGGCAGACAAACACAUAACAGGACCCGAGCGCUGCCACAUGGCCGCAGGGUCACAGGGCAUGAUAGAAUCAGAGAAGAAAUGAUACAUUUACUUUGUGCCUUUAAAGGGGCAUUAUGGAAGCUUUUCAGGUUAGAUAACCUGCACAUUCAGGUUUAAUUCAUUGUGGUGGUGUUUUGAAUUACAUAAUUUGUUUGAUUGUUCGUUCGUUUUCCAUCUAUGUUUUCCCCACAGGAACAAAGUAUCUUCCCUGAAAUGUGCCACAAAUAAUAAAAAUGAAAGUUUGAAGGAGCAGCAGUUUCCUCCUAGUAUAUUGAGCAUCUUGGGAAGGAAGGGGCCUCAACACUGGAUGGUUUGUUAUGACUUGUUUAACUUACAGAACAAAUGCUGUUUUGCUUUUCCUGAAAGAUACAGUUUUGUUUUGUUGCCUGAAAGAGGGACAACUGAACAGCAAAAAGUUCUCCAGAGCCUUAUUGAACAGGUUUGAAAGAUAAUCAUGGAUCGUUGACUUGGCUCAGAUCAAUCUCUGUUCCUGAUGGCUCCAUCAUAGGUUGUAGAUGCAGAGGACUGACAGGUGUCGAAGAAAUCCCGAGGAAAAUUGGCCAAUUUAAUGUUCAGUAUUGUUUCUUGGGAUCAAGAGAAAGUACUUGAUCGGCAAUACCACUCCUCUUUGCUUUCAGCACUGAUUGUUCUGACUUUGGUGAGGGGUUCAUAAAUUGGGUUGGUUUAUAGAAUAAUGGUGAGCAGUGCUUGGUUCAAAUUGACGCCAGUUUGAGUUGAUGAUAGUCCAGUCAUCAGGCCUCUGCAGUGCAGGUUGAAGGUUUUGGAAUAACGGUCUCUCUUUUCCAGAGUCAGAAACAACUUCUCCAACCAUUUGGGUUGAUGCAGACAUGUCAAUAUCUUCAUUAAAUUUCAAAAUGAUUUUCACCGAUUGUGGGUAACACUUUCAACUUAUGAUAAAAAAAAAAGCAUCAGCAUGGCUGAGCUGGACAACAAGUGACACUUCAUUGAUUGGACAGUGGCAAGAUAAAACAGUGAUGUCCUUGAGUGGUUCACUCAAUGUCCACUCCAUGAAGGGGACAUGACAUGUGAAAUGGAAUAAUGCUUUGUUUUUACAUUUUCAGGAACACAGUGCGAAGGCCCCCCUGUUUUGUCUGAAGUCACUUGGUAUCAGGAGUGUUCUCCUGAGAACCAACAUCUGCUAUUCUCGUGAGAUUUGUCUAUAUGACCUGGCAUUGCUGGAAGUUAUGCCAGAGCAGAGUUGGGUUUUCCUCGAAGCAUUAGCCUUGCUCUCAAUCAGCUGAUUUGUGUGUGCAUCCUCUGCUAUCGUGAAUAAAUCCUCCGUGUGCAAGUGUCAACACCUUAACUCAUCUUUGUCAUCUUUGGCUGUGUAUCACCAAAAAUUCCACAACAACUGGUCUGACUCCAUUGUACACUUCUGUCCUCCAGGUCUGGCAGGUUUGUCUUGCAAAACAUGCAACUGCGGGGACACUCGUCAGGUGGAUGUUGAAAGAACCUUAGAUUUCAGCAGCUUUCUUCAGACUCCAGUACUGCCGUCUACGAGCCUGAGGAAGGAAGGAGUCACCAAACUGGACCAUCUACUCAACCUGGAGGACACACCUUUGGAAAGCCCGAGGCAGAUGGGGAAUUCUCUUCUGUCACAUAGGCAGAGUUGACAAACCUGCCCCUACUGUGGAGAGUGUGACCAAUAAUCAGACAGUGUGACAGAAGGAGCAGACCAAUCCUCUAAGUCAGUGGUCCUAAAACCAGUCCAGAAUUAACCGCUGUGGCUGCUGGUUUUUGUUCCAACCAAGCAAGAGCACACGACACUCCACCUAUUUCACCAAGUCUACAGGCGGACUCACAGGUGGAAAUGGGUGGAGUCUUAUGUGCUCCUGUUUGGUUGGAAUCUAACCAAACAGGAGCGCAUAAGACUCCACCUGUGGAGUGAGUCCACCUGUAGACUCAUUCUGGACUGGUUUGAGAACCACUCCUCAAACUGAUUAGCUCUGCAACAGUAUAUAUAUCCAGAGAUCUUGGUCAAACAACAGUUCCAGUGUUGAGUGCAGGAAGUUGAGACAUGGCUGGACAUCUGCCUGCAGUCUGUGCAUUGAUCCUGAUUCUGGGUGCACUUGGGUGCUCAGAUGCAAAGUCAAUUAAAAGGAAUAGAGAUCACGCUGGUGUUUGCCCUCCUCCAGCCUAUGCGAACAUGUGUGACGAUGUUAUUUUUCCCGAUUGCCCCAAAGAUAGUCACUGCCGCACACAUGAGAAAUGCUGCGACAAUGGAUGUGGGCAUGAGUGCGUUUCAGCGAUCGUCGUCCGGAGAGGUUGAUAUCUGUCAGAGGAAGCUUGAGGUGAAAAAGGUUGAGAAGAAAAGAAAUUCAGCAAGACAACUGGCUGCUGUUUCUGCAGUGAGCCCUGCUGAUUCCAUCCAUCCAUCCAUUUUCUAUGCCGUUUACUCCUUUUCAGGGUUGCAGGUGGCUGGAGCUGAUCCCAGCUGCUGCGGGCGAGGGCGGGGUCCACCCUGGACAGGUCGCCAGUCUGUCGCAGGCCUAACAUAUACAGACAUACAACCAUUCACAUUCACACCUAAGGGCAAUUCAGGGUGACCAAUUAAUCUGACAUGCAUGUUUUUGGACCGUGGGAAGCCAGAGAACCCGGAGGGAACCCACGCACAGAGCAUGCAAACUCCAAACAGAAAGGCCCCGGUGCUUGAACCCAGGACAUUCUUGCUGUGCGGCAAGAGCACUAAGCACUGAACCGCCUGCUGAUCCAACAAUCUUCAACCACACUGAAUUCUGCAUCCUUGGGUGUACUUUCUGGGUUUCUUGAAAUUGAGAAGAUUUACAGAUGAAAAAAAAAAAAUAAAAAAUAGGGGGCAAAGCCAUAUUCCAUGACAUCUUUCAAAUUGAUCAACGAUUUGUGCACUUCGGCACA
Molecule: long non-coding RNA, 5315 nt
Organism: Salarias fasciatus (jewelled blenny)
Lineage: Eukaryota; Metazoa; Chordata; Actinopteri; Blenniiformes; Blenniidae
Exons: 3
Source: RefSeq, a predicted model, not a curated record